Molecule: ribosomal RNA, 38 nt
Filed under: Eucrypta micrantha
Lineage: Eukaryota; Viridiplantae; Streptophyta; Magnoliopsida; Boraginales; Hydrophyllaceae
Description: partial 26S ribosomal RNA
Source: RNAcentral
GCGACCCCAGGUCAGGCGGGAUUACCCGCUGAGUUWAA